GGAUAGGCCCCGUAACGGCGAGUGAAGCGGCAAAAGCUCAAAUUUGAAAUCUGCGUAAGCCGAGUUGUAAUUUGAAGAUGGCUACUUUGGUAAUGGCUCUUGUCUAUGUUCCUUGGAACAGGACGUCACAGAGGGUGAGAAUCCCGUGCGAUGAGAUGUCCAUUACCGUGUAAAGUGCUUUCGAAGAGUCGAGUUGUUUGGGAAUGCAGCUCUAAGUGGGUGGUAAAUUCCAUCUAAAGCUAAAUAUUGGCGAGAGACCGAUAGCGAACAAGUACAGUGAUGGAAAGAUGAAAAGAACUUUGAAAAGAGAGUGAAAAAGUACGUGAAAUUGUUGAAAGGGAAGGGCUUGAGAUCAGACUUGGUAUUUUGUAUGGCUUGCUUUCGGGCGGGUCCUCUGCAGUUUACUGGGCCAGCAUCGGUUUGGGUGGCAGGAUAAUAGCGAAGGAAUGUGGCUCUACUUCGGUGGAGUGUUAUAGCCUUUGUUGAUACUGCCUGCCUAGACCGAGGACUGCCUCUUUUCACUAUUAUGGGGGAAUAAUGAUCUUUUUUUGGUGUCCUACCCGUGUAGUGAUUUGAGCACAAAAA
Molecule: ribosomal RNA, 585 nt
Filed under: Fermentozyma sake
Lineage: Eukaryota; Fungi; Ascomycota; Pichiomycetes; Serinales; Debaryomycetaceae
Description: [Candida] sake partial large subunit ribosomal RNA
Rfam family: Eukaryotic large subunit ribosomal RNA
Source: RNAcentral